RNAcentral lists this ribosomal RNA (500 nucleotides) under uncultured bacterium. Its description in RNAcentral is "partial 16S ribosomal RNA". It matches the Rfam family "Bacterial small subunit ribosomal RNA", at positions 30 to 523 of the family's 1533-position model. The record is from RNAcentral.
AUUGAACGCUGGCGGAAUGCUUUACACAUGCAAGUCGAACGGCAGCACGGACUUCGGUCUGGUGGCGAGUGGCGAACGGGUGAGUAAUGUAUCGGAACGUGCCCAGUCGUGGGGGAUAACGUAGUGAAAAUUACGCUAAUACCGCAUACGAUCUAUGGAUGAAAGCGGGGGAUCGCAAGACCUCGCGCGAUUGGAGCGGCCGAUAUCAGAUUAGGUAGUUGGUGGGGUAAAGGCCCACCAAGCCAACGAUCGUUAGCUGGUCUGAGAGGACGCACAGCCACACUGAAACUGAGACACGUUCCAGACUCCUACGGGAGGCAGCAGUGGGGAAUUUUGGACAAUGGGAGAAAGCCUGAUCCAGCCAUUCCGCGUGCAGGAUGAAGGCCCUCGGGUUGUAAACUGCUUUUGUACAGAACGAAAAGGUUUCUACUAAUACUAGGAGCUCAUGACGGUACUGUAAGAAUAAGCACCGGCUAACUACGUGCCAGCCGCCGCCGUAA